CAUCCGUAGGGGGAACCUGCGGAAGGAUCAUUAGUGAAUAUAGGACGUCCAACUUAACUUGGAGUCCGAACUCUCACUUUCUAACCCUGUGCACUUGUUUGGGAUAGUAACUCUCGCAAGAGAGCGAACUCCUAUUCACUUAUAAACACAAAGUCUAUGAAUGUAUUAAAUUUUAUAACAAAAUAAAACUUUCAACAACGGAUCUCUUGGCUCUCGCAUCGAUGAAGAACGCAGCGAAAUGCGAUAAGUAAUGUGAAUUGCAGAAUUCAGUGAAUCAUCGAAUCUUUGAACGCACCUUGCGCUCCAUGGUAUUCCGUGGAGCAUGCCUGUUUGAGUGUCAUGAAUACUUCAACCCUCCUCUUUCUUAAUGAUUGAAGAGGUGUUUGGUUUCUGAGCGCUGCUGGCCUUUACGGUCUAGCUCGUUCGUAAUGCAUUAGCAUCCGCAAUCGAACUUCGGAUUGACUUGGCGUAAUAGACUAUUCGCUGAGGAAUUCUAGUCUUCGGAUUAGAGCCGGGUUGGGUUAAAGGAAGCUUCUAAUCAGAAUGUCUACAUUUUAAGAUUAGAUCUCAAAUCAGGUAGGACUACCCGCUGAACUUAAGCAUAUCAAUAAGCGGAGGAAAG
RNAcentral lists this ribosomal RNA (622 nucleotides) under Rhodotorula mucilaginosa. RNAcentral describes it as "eukaryotic LSU rRNA". The stretch from base 187 to 340 matches the Rfam family "5.8S ribosomal RNA". The record is from RNAcentral. Lineage: Eukaryota; Fungi; Basidiomycota; Microbotryomycetes; Sporidiobolales; Sporidiobolaceae.